Molecule: ribosomal RNA, 492 nt
Filed under: uncultured bacterium
Lineage: Bacteria
Description: partial 16S ribosomal RNA
Rfam family: Bacterial small subunit ribosomal RNA
Source: RNAcentral
AGUGAACGCUGGCGGUAGGCCUAACACAUGCAAGUCGAACGGCAGCACAGUAAGAGCUUGCUCUUACGGGUGGCGAGUGGCGGACGGGUGAGGAAUACAUCGGAAUCUACUUUUUCGUGGGGGAUAACGUAGGGAAACUUACGCUAAUACCGCAUACGACCUACGGGUGAAAGCAGGGGAUCUUCGGACCUUGCGCGAUUGAAUGAGCCGAUGUCGGAUUAGCUAGUUGGCGGGGUAAAGGCCCACCAAGGCGACGAUCCGUAGCUGGUCUGAGAGGAUGAUGAGGAACAAGGGAACUGAGAUACGGGAGAGACGCCAACGGGAGGCAGCAGUGGGGAAUAGUGGACAAGGGGCUGAAGAAUGAACCACCCAUACGGAGGGAGAGAAGAAGGCCUGGGGGGUGUAAAGCCGUGCUGGUGGUAAAGAAAAGCAGAAGCUUAAUACACCGCUGGGCGGACGGGAGCCAAAGAAUAAGAAAGGGCUAGUUUCGUG